This 279-nucleotide ribosomal RNA is filed under the name uncultured archaeon. Its description in RNAcentral is "partial 16S rRNA". It matches the Rfam family "Archaeal small subunit ribosomal RNA", at positions 1047 to 1325 of the family's 1478-position model. The record is from RNAcentral.
GAGACCCACGCCAACAGUUGCCAGCAUGUCCUCCGGGAUGGUGGGGACACUGUUGGGACCGCCUCUGCUAAAGAGGAGGAAGGAAUGGGCAACGGUAGGUCAGCAUGCCCCGAAUUAUCCGGGCUACACGCGGGCUACAAUGGUCAGGACAAUGGGCAUCGACACCGAGAGGUGAAGGCAAUCUCUUAAACCUGUCCUUAGUUCGGAUUGUGGGCUGCAACUCGCCCACAUGAAGCUGGAAUCCGUAGUAAUCGCGUCUCAAAAUGGCGCGGUGAAUAU